RNAcentral lists this ribosomal RNA (482 nucleotides) under uncultured bacterium. Its description in RNAcentral is "partial 16S ribosomal RNA". It matches the Rfam family "Bacterial small subunit ribosomal RNA", at positions 30 to 507 of the family's 1533-position model. The record is from RNAcentral.
AUUGAACGCUGGCGGCAUACCUUACACAUGCAAGUCGAACGGUAACAGGUCUUCGGAUGCUGACGAGUGGCGAACGGGUGAGUAAUACAUCGGAACGUGCCCGAUCGUGGGGGAUAACGAGGCGAAAGCUUUGCUAAUACCGCAUGCGAUCUACGGAUGAAAGCGGGGGAUCUUCGGACCUCGCGCGGACGGAGCGGCCGAUGGCAGAUUAGGUAGUUGGUGGGAUAAAAGCUUACCAAGCCGACGAUCUGUAGCUGGUCUGAGAGGAUGAUCAGCCACACUGGGACUGAGACACGGCCCAGACUCCUACGGGAGGCAGCAGUGGGGAAUUUUGGACAAUGGGCGAAAGCCUGAUCCAGCCAUGCCGCGUGCAGGAUGAAGGCCUUCGGGUUGUAAACUGCUUUUGUACGGAACGAAAAGCCUCUUUCUAAUAAAGAGGGGUCAUGACGGUACCGUAAGAAUAAGCACCGGCUAACUACGUG